CCGUGAAUUAAUCCUCUAUUCGCCCCUUUACUGUCAGCUGGAAUAUGGAGCCAUCAACGUUGAGCUUUUUCCAACCCUUAUCUGGCGGAGCCCACCCAAUCAUCUUCUCUCUGAUGUGUUUUUAAACUCUUGUUGCUCUAUUAAGUGAUGUUCAAAAUAAAGUGGUAAUUUUCUACUAGAGCCUUAAUCAUAUGUUGAAGACUAUUAUUUUGAUCAUAUUGAUUGUUGAACACAAGCUCAUUGCGGUUCUACCAUGCUAUAUUGCAAGUUAUGAUGAAAAUAAUGGUCCAAAGUGUACCAUUUAGGGAUGGAGUGACUUCCAGAAGGUUAGUUCUUAUCCACUCCUGGUAUGGUUGGGCAAAAAAAAAUCACUAUGUACUGUAGUAUUCUAGACGGUAUGGAUAUAGGGACAAUCAUGUAGUGUAUGGAGUAGAGUCUCGUCUUCUCCUUGGCAUCUAGGAUAGCUUUCAUCUUUGGUAAGCCCUCUUCAACUUCUCUUGUAGUUUGUUAAUAAAGCCUCAUGUGUAAGGAGCCAACUAAAUGACUUUAGUCUCUGUGGUAAUUUAGUCUUCCAAACUAGCUUGAAAAUUCUGUCACCAUUCUCUCCAUCAUUAUAGAAAGUAUCAUAGGCUACUUUUACAGUGAAUAUACCAUUUGAGGAUGGGACCCAUUUUGAUACAAUCAUCCCCUAUAUCAUGAUUAGGUGCUUUGAUAGUGUGCAAUAAAUCUAUAAUUUCUUCUGGAAAAACUUGAUGAAGAGCUUCCCAAUCCCAUUCUCCCUUACCCAUAGCAUAUGAGUCCAUAGUUUCAUUUAAUUUCUCUGUGUCUAGAUUAAUUAGAGCUACCUCUUUAAGCUGCUCAAAUCCCAGGAUCCACUGGUCUGUCCAGAAACAGAUUUUUUUUCUAUCUCCAAAUCUCCAAAUGAGUUUAUUUUAAAUCUUUCCCAUAUCUUGGUAAUCCCAUACCAAGCAUUUGAGUUAAUACAUCUUUGAUAAACUUUAGGAAUAUCAUCUUCUCCACAACUGUAUUUUGCACGCAUAACCUUGACUUACAGAGUAUCCCUCCUAUAUAGAAGACCCCAGGCUAGUUUCAUAAGAAAGAGAGAGUUAGAAUCUUAAGCCUUUCUAAUGCCAAGACCCCCUUUCUCUUUAGGUUUACACACUUUAUCCCACUUGACAAGAUGGAUCUUCCUCUUUUCAUCAUUGCUGUCCCACAAAAAAUCUUUACACACUUUAUCAAUUUUAUUGUACAUUGCUACUGGAAUACGCAUGGUUUGCAUAAAAUAGCUAGGAAUGGUGGAUAGAAUUGACUGGAUGAGAGUACAUUUUUCUGCCAUCGAAAGUGUCUUCUUAUCUCAACUUGAGAAUUUGGUUUUCAUCCUAUCAAUAAUGAACUGGAAAUGGUGAUGGUUACAUCUCUUAUGUAUAAAAAGAACUCUAAGAUAUUUUUCCAAGUUUGUUGUGAGGCUAAUCCCAAGUUCCUAGCUGAGUUGUUAUCGAGUGUUAUGAUUCACAUUACUGAAAAAAAUAUACAUAAGACUUUUCAAAACUCACUCUUUGUCCCAAGUAGUCACAAAAAUGUUGAAGAGCUUCCCUAAUGAUCUAAACUUGCUUCCUGUCCGCCUUGUCAAAAAAAGCAAAUCAUCUGUAAAACAAAGAAGAAAAAAAUCUUAGGGCCUCCUCUAGAUAGAGUAAUAGGUUCCCAUUUUUUAUUUUCUACUAAUUUAUAGAUUAGCUGACACAAUCUUUCAAGACAUACGGCAAAUAAGAGAGGGAAUAGAGGAUCUCCCUGUUUGAUUCCUCUAGUUUGGAGAGAAAGCUUUUGAUGGAUAACCAUUUCAGAGCGAGUUCAUAGUUGUAGUUGAGAUACAGUGAGUAAUAACUUUAACAAUUGGCUCUGGAAUUCCCACAUCCCUGAGAGUAUUAAUCACAAAGUUCCAACUGAGUCAAUCAUAAGCCUUCUCCAAGUCGAUCUUUAUUGCCAUGAGUCCUUUGCCAUGCUUUUUACUCCUCAUUGUGUGCACCACUUUCUGAGCUACUAAUAUGUUGUCUGCACUAACCCUACCUAGAACAAAAUUUGAUUGUGUAUUAGAUAUAAUAAGAGGCAUGUCUUUUUUAAUCUCAAAGCAAUAAUCUUAGUUACAGAUUUAUAACAAAUAUUACAAAGACUUAUCGAUCUAAAGUGCCCAAAAUUUUUCGGGGAGGGAUCUUGGGAAUAAUAGUGAUAAAUGUUUCAUUAACCUUGGCUAUAUUAUGGGGCUCAUAAAAAUCAACUUCACCUAGUCCACUAGAGAUUUUUCUACCACAUUCCAAGCUUGUUGAUAAAAUUUUGCCGGAGUCCAUCACUUCCUAGCACCUUCCAACUGCCCAUGGAAAAAAUAUCUUUAAUUUCUUCCAUGGAUCAUCUCUUUUGAUCUCAAUAUAAUCUUUGUCCUGCAACUUAGGAAAAUGAUUAGUAAUAGAGAAUAUACUAGAAAUCAGAUCCAACAAUAGAGGCAUAAGGUAUCAGGCCCUGAGUGAGAGAAGGAAUGAGAAGAACAGAGAAAGAGAAGAGUAGAGAGAGAAGAGUAGAGAGAGAAGAGCUUGAUUAGCUAUGAUUAUGAUUCAAUAGUUAUAGAGUUGCUAUUACACUUGUAUUUAUACUAGAUGAAUUUUGUAACAGCCUAACAAACUCAAAGUACCUUAUGACACAUUAGCACUACAUACUCUAUCAUCUCCCCACAAACUUAAGACCUGACAGUCAGCAAUCCUGAGUUUGCUUCAAAAACUGGUGAACAAUUUGGAAGACACAGGUUUUGUAAAAAUGUCUACCAUCUGAACACUUUCUGGAACGUGCUUGAUGAUAACACCCCUUUUGGCCACAUGGUCCCAAACAAAACUAAAAUUCGUAGCAAAGUGCUUGAAUUUAGAAUGAAAAAUGGGUUGGCAGUAAGUUAAAUGGCUCCAAGAUUGUGACAAUAGAGAAUAAGAGGACUUUGAAGAGUCCUCGCGCAGCUCAUUCAAGAGAUUUUUAAGCCAAGUUGUUUCAGAAAUUAGUGCAGCAAUCCCCCGAUACUCGACCUCGGUGCUAGAUCGAGAUACAACAUGUUGCUUCCUGGAGGACCACACUACUAAAUUAGCCCCAUAAAACAAAUAGUAGUCAUUUGUGGACUUGCGGUCAUUUGGAUAGCCUUUACACUCAUUCAUCUUGACCUUUUUGAGUACUUCUUAGAUGUAUUUAACUUGAUUGAGCCGAAUUUCACUUAAGCUGUCAGAGGUAACCUGAAUACUAAGGAAGUAGUGAAGGGUUUUCAUGUCUUUAAGAGAAAAUUUUGAGUGAAACUACUUGAUGAAGCCAUCAAUUAGAGUAAAAGAGCUACCAAUCAAGACUAUAUCAUCAACAUAGACAAAAGCAAAUGUGCUAUGACAGCCAUCAAAUCUGGUAAAGAGAGAUACAUCAGAUUUCAUUUCUUGAAAUCUAAUGGAUUGAAAAGUGCAAUCCAACUUAAGAUAUCAAGCUCAUGGUGCUUGCUUGAGCCCAUAGAGCGAUUUGUUGAGUUUGCAACCAAUGGAACUGUCCCCCGCUUCAUACUCUGUUUGCUGAACCAUGUAGACCUCUUCAUCGAGAUGCCAUUGAGAAAGGUAUUAUUUACAUCCAAUUGACAAAUUUUUCAACCAUUCAAGGCAGCAGUAGAGAGAACCAUUUUGAUUGAUGUUAGUUUAAUAAUGUGACUGAACGUUUCUUUCAAGUCAUAGCCAGGUUUCUGGUGAAAACCUUGAGCAACAAGGUGGGCCUUAUACUUUUGAAGUGAACCAUCUACAUUGUACUUCGCCUGAAAGACCCACUUGCUUCCAAUUACAUGCUUAGUGAGUGGCAGCUUUACCAAACUCCAGUUUUCAGUUCAAGGGAGGCAUUGAACAGCUUGGAUUUGAAAACUCCUGCCUUGGACCGUGUGGUCAUGUUAUGAGUGUUACGAGACAGAGGAGGAGGUGAUGGAUCGGGUGUUGGGAGUGGCUGGGAAGAGGAUCGAUGUAGUGGGGUAGGAGCAGGAGCUAGAGAGGAGGGGAGAUCUGGGUUUGUAGCAGGCUGUAAGAUAUGUGUAGGGCAUGGUGGAGAAUGAUGAGGGUGAUGUUGAAUGUGUAAAGGAGGAAUUGGUGAGGGAUCAACAUUGUGAGAGAUAUGAAUGGUGGAAGGGGCAGUUUGGAAAGAAAAAAUUUCUUUAUAAAAGACACAAUGGUGUGUUAUAAUAACCAUACUAGAGGGUAGCAAACAUUAAAAUCCUUUAUUCUGUGUACCGCAGCCAAGAAAGACUGAUGGUUCAGACCAAAAAUCCAAUUUACGUUGAUUAUAGGCCCUCAAGUGUGGAAAACACAGGCAGUCGAAUACUUUAAAAUUCAACUAAUCUAGUUUCUUGUUCAACAAUUUCUCCAUCGAGGACAUGUUUAGAACUGGAGUAGGUAAAAUCUUGAUCGACUAAGCCGCUGUGAGAAAAGCCUCUCCCCAAUAUUUUAGAGACACACUAGCAUUCGCCAUUAGGGUCAGUCCCAUCUCUAAGAUAUGGCGGUGCUUUCUUUUCGAAGCACCAUUUUGUUGGUAGACAUGAGGACACGCAAAGCAAUGCACAAUGCCUUAUUCUUGCAGGCUU
Non-coding RNA from Arachis ipaensis, 4624 nucleotides. Lineage: Eukaryota; Viridiplantae; Streptophyta; Magnoliopsida; Fabales; Fabaceae. The record is from RefSeq and is a predicted model, not a curated record.